CAUUAAGAAGCUAUGAACCAGCAUUAGCCUUUUAAGCUAAAGAAAGAGGGAUCCUCCCCUCCUUAAUGG
RNAcentral lists this transfer RNA (69 nucleotides) under Spizella atrogularis (Black-chinned sparrow). RNAcentral describes it as "tRNA-Lys". Lineage: Eukaryota; Metazoa; Chordata; Aves; Passeriformes; Passerellidae. The record is from RNAcentral.